Molecule: non-coding RNA, 126 nt
Filed under: Neolewinella maritima
Lineage: Bacteria; Pseudomonadati; Bacteroidota; Saprospiria; Saprospirales; Lewinellaceae
Description: Lewinella maritima SAM
Rfam family: SAM riboswitch aptamer (S box leader)
About the family: The SAM riboswitch is found upstream of a number of genes which code for proteins involved in methionine or cysteine biosynthesis in Gram-positive bacteria. The SAM riboswitch acts at the level of transcription termination control.
Source: RNAcentral
AUUUUAUACCGAAGGGUGGAGAGACUAGGCUCUGUGAAUCCCUGGCAACCACUCCUCCGAUGGCUCGGAGGAAAAGGUGCCAAUUCCUGUCCCCGCUGGCAUUUCGCCGUGGGGAGCAUAUAAAAU